This 1436-nucleotide ribosomal RNA is filed under the name Triticum aestivum (bread wheat). RNAcentral describes it as "partial small subunit ribosomal RNA". The record is from RNAcentral. Lineage: Eukaryota; Viridiplantae; Streptophyta; Magnoliopsida; Poales; Poaceae.
GACCACCAGCGGCGGCGGCGGCGCCGGCGGGAAGGAUAAGGACAGGGACAGGGACAGGGCCAGGGGCUCCGCGGUCUCCUUCACGGAGGGCGAGAAGGUGCUCGCCUACCACGGCCCGCUCCUCUACGAGGCCAAGGUUCAAAAAACUGAAAAUCGGGAGGACGAGUGGCGGUAUUUCGUCCAUUAUCUUGGAUGGAAUAAAAAUUGGGAUGAAUGGGUCGCAAGUGAUCGUUUAUUGAAGUUGACUGAAGAGAAUGUUCGCAAACAACUAGAACUGAAAAAUCAGUCAGGGGACAAAACCGUCAGGACCGGUGGACGGUCAGCACAUAACCCAAAAGGCUCUAAUGCAGAUGCAAAAGCCGAUAAAGAGGACACUAAGGGUCUUGUCAAGGGGAAGAAGCGCAAGAAUCAGCUUGGCGUUGAGGAAAAGGAAAGAAGGUCAUCAGAGAGUCUCCUCAUGUCACAGUUUCCCGUAACACUAAAGAAGCAACUUGUUGAUGAUUGGGAGUUUGUCACGCAGCUGGGUAAGCUUGUAAAACUACCUCGAUCGCCCACUGUGGAUGAUAUUCUAACGAAGUAUUUGGAGUAUCGGGUAAAGAAGGAUAACAAGAUAAGUGACUCUUGUGCUGAGGUAACAAAAGGAUUACGCUGUUACUUCGAUAAAGCAUUGCCUGCCAUGCUUUUAUACAAGAAAGAGCAAAAGCAGUAUAAGGAAGAAAUUAAAGGUGACGUUUCACCCUCAACUGUAUAUGGAGCUGAGCAUCUACUACGCCUGUUUGUGAAACUACCAGAGCUACUUUCUUCUGUGAAUAUGGAAGAAGAUGCACUCAACAAACUGCAGCAGAAAUUACUGGACAUUCUCAAGUUUCUGCAGAAGAACCAAGUCCAUUUCUUCCUUUCUGCGUACGACGGCGAUUCCAAAGGCGCCGACGGGGCAAAAGGCAAAUAGAAGCAAACGUUGGUGUCUGUAUGUCGGAUGCGCCAUCCACUGCUGGAUUUGUACUGCGUAGCUCACACCUCAUAGUCUGGUUGUUGCUUGGAUGUGGAUGUUUUGUGGGAUGUGUGACCCGUGACCGCCGAUCGCCGCUCUGCUUGCUAACAACAAGUUCAUGUAGCUGACCUGUCCAACAUCACUGUUGGCCUAGGUACAAAAUCCUUGCAUUUGUGUGGUGCCCCUGAGACUGUCCUACAUCAGUUCACUAGUGUACAUUUGCAGAAUCUCUCUGUUUUCUUGCCAACUCUGAAUAAUUUCCUUCUUUGAACAACACCAAAUUGCGAGUGCCGCCUCUAUUCCCGUGUGCGGAUCGUAUUAGUUUUUGUUUUGGUUUUUGGGAGGAGCAGGGAGUAUUAGUUUUCGUUAGGACAAGGUCUGGCCCAAGAAUUACCUAUGUGGUUUAUAUGGCAUGAUUGGUAUCGCUAGAUCUUUUUUAAAGUGC